GAUGAACGCUAGCGGGAGGCUUAACACAUGCAAGUCGAGGGGCAGCACGAGGUAGCAAUACUUUGGUGGCGACCGGCGCACGGGUGAGUAACGCGUAUGUAACCUACCUUGUACAGGGGGAUAACCCGGAGAAAUUCGGACUAAUACCCCAUAAUGAUAUUGAGAGGCAUCUUUUGAUAUUUAAAGUUUCGACGGUACAAGAUGGGCAUGCGUAACAUUAGCUAGUUGGUAGGGUAACGGCCUACCAAGGCUACGAUGUUUAGGGGUCCUGAGAGGGUGAUCCCCCACAUUGGUACUGAGACACGGACCAAACUCCUACGGGAGGCAGCAGUGAGGAAUAUUGGUCAAUGGGCGUAAGCCUGAACCAGCCAUCCCGCGUGCAGGAAGACGGCGCUAUGCGUUGUAAACUGCUUUUCCAGGGAAGAAACCUUCGACGUGUCGAAGCUUGCCGGUACCUUGGGAAUAAGCAUCGGCUAACUCCGUG
This 484-nucleotide ribosomal RNA is filed under the name uncultured bacterium. RNAcentral's name for it is "bacterial SSU rRNA". It matches the Rfam family "Bacterial small subunit ribosomal RNA", at positions 28 to 507 of the family's 1533-position model. The record is from RNAcentral.